Molecule: transfer RNA, 77 nt
Filed under: Staphylococcus pseudintermedius ED99
Lineage: Bacteria; Bacillati; Bacillota; Bacilli; Caryophanales; Staphylococcaceae
Description: tRNA-Asn
Rfam family: tRNA
About the family: Transfer RNA (tRNA) molecules are approximately 80 nucleotides in length. Their secondary structure includes four short double-helical elements and three loops (D, anti-codon, and T loops).
Source: RNAcentral
UUCCACAGUAGCUCAGUGGUAGAGCUAUCGGCUGUUAACCGAUCGGUCGUAGGUUCGAGUCCUACCUGUGGAGCCAC